GGUCGCAUGCCCGAGUGGCCAGGGAGCCGCCUGCAAAGCGGCGUACGCCGGUUCGAGUCCGGCUGCGGCUU
RNAcentral lists this transfer RNA (71 nucleotides) under Paractinoplanes abujensis. RNAcentral's name for it is "Actinoplanes sp. A4029 tRNA". It matches the Rfam family "tRNA". From Rfam's summary of the family: Transfer RNA (tRNA) molecules are approximately 80 nucleotides in length. Lineage: Bacteria; Bacillati; Actinomycetota; Actinomycetes; Micromonosporales; Micromonosporaceae. The record is from Rfam by way of RNAcentral.